RNAcentral lists this ribosomal RNA (467 nucleotides) under uncultured bacterium. Its description in RNAcentral is "partial 16S ribosomal RNA". It matches the Rfam family "Bacterial small subunit ribosomal RNA", at positions 28 to 506 of the family's 1533-position model. The record is from RNAcentral.
GACGAACGCUGGCGGCGUGCUUAACACAUGCAAGUCGAACGGAAAGGCCCUGCUUUUGUGGGGUGCUCGAGUGGCGAACGGGUGAGUAACACGUGAGUAACCUGCCCUUGACUUUGGGAUAACUUCAGGAAACUGGGGCUAAUACCGGAUAGGAGCUCCUGCUGCAUGGUGGGGGUUGGAAAGUUUCGGCGGUUGGGGAUGGGCUCGCGGCUUAUCAGCUUGUUGGUGGGGUAGUGGCUUACCAAGGCUUUGACGGGUAGCCGGCCUGAGAGGGUGACCGGCCACAUUGGGACUGAGAUACGGCCCAGACUCCUACGGGAGGCAGCAGUGGGGAAUAUUGCACAAUGGGCGGAAGCCUGAUGCAGCAACGCCGCGUGCGGGAUGACGGCCUUCGGGUUGUAAACCGCUUUCGCCUAUGACGAAGCGUGAGUGACGGUAAUGGGUAAAGAAGCACCGGCUAACUACGU